CCAGUCUGAGGACAAGCUGAUAAUCACCAAAAAUGUGGUGAUUUAAUUGGAUUUAAAAGGGCAUAUGAACUGUUACAGCCACACUUUUUGCAAAUUAUCAAUGACCUGUUAUGUUUCAUAAAAACUUAUUUUUUGUUCUGUUUUAUUUGUUAUGUUGAGGAAAACAAUGUGUGAAUGUACCUGAUUGAACAUCCCCUUUGUCAUUGUUGAU
Molecule: non-coding RNA, 211 nt
Organism: Pelobates cultripes (western spadefoot toad)
Lineage: Eukaryota; Metazoa; Chordata; Amphibia; Anura; Pelobatidae
Source: the annotation of a GenBank genome assembly